ACUGCUCAGUAACACGUGGACAACCUGCCCUUAGGUUGGGUAUAAACCCGGGAAACUGGGUAUAAUACCCGAUAGGUCUCGAUUGCUGGAAUGCAUCGAGAUUUAAAGCUCCGGCGCCUAAGGAUGGGUCUGCGGCCUAUCAGGUAGUAGUGGGUGUAGCGUACCUACUAGCCUACGACGGGUACGGGUUGUGAGAGCAAGAGCCCGGAGAUGGAUUCUGAGACACGAAUCCAGGCCCUACGGGGUGCAGCAGGCGCGAAAACUUUACAAUGCUGGCAACAGCGAUAAGGGAACCUCGAGUGCCAGGUUACAAAUCUGGCUGUCGAGAUGCCUAAAAAGCAUUUCAUAGCAAGGGCCGGGCAGGACCGGUGCCAGCCGCCGCGGUAACACCGGCGGCUCGAGUGGUAACCGUUAUUAUUGGGUCUAAAGGGUCUGUAGCCGGCCGGAUAAGUCUCUUGAGAAAUCUGGCAGCUUAACUGUCAGGCUUUCAGGAGAUACUGUCUGGCUCGAGGCCGGGAGAGGUGAGAGGUACUUCAGGGGUAGGGGUGAAAUCUUGUAAUCCUUGAAGGACCACCAGUGGCGAAGGCGUCUCACCAGAACGGACCUGACGGCAAGGGACGAAAGCUAGGGGCACGAACCGGAUUAGAUACCCGGGUAGUCCUAGCCGUAAACGAUACUCGCUAGGUGUCGGCCACGGUGCGACCGUUGUCGGUGCCGUAGGGAAGCCGUGAAGCGAGCCACCUGGGAAGUACGGCCGCAAGGCUGAAACUUAAAGGAAUUGGCGGGGGAGCAC
This 793-nucleotide ribosomal RNA is filed under the name uncultured archaeon. RNAcentral's name for it is "bacterial SSU rRNA". It matches the Rfam family "Archaeal small subunit ribosomal RNA", at positions 85 to 879 of the family's 1478-position model. The record is from RNAcentral.